This 87-nucleotide small nuclear RNA is filed under the name Aphanomyces astaci. Lineage: Eukaryota; Oomycota; Saprolegniomycetes; Saprolegniales; Verrucalvaceae. The record is from RNAcentral.
ACUAACAGUAGGUGAACGUAAAAGUUGGGUGAUACAGAGAAGAUUAGCAUGGCCCCUGCACAAGGAUGACACGCAUCGCACUUUUUU